UAUGGGUUUACUAGAUUAUGUCAGUUCUUCUACCGAUCGAACUUCAUCAAGUUUAAUCUUUGAGGCAUUAGUUUUUUCAUCAAAAAACUCUUUUUCUAAAAAGAUAGCCCUAUUACUGACGAACACCUUCUGUUCGUCAGCAAGGUAGAAAUAAUAUCCCUUGGUCUCUUUUGAGUAUCCUAUAAAUAGAUAUUUGUCAGAUCUAGGU
This 208-nucleotide long non-coding RNA is filed under the name Elaeis guineensis (African oil palm). RNAcentral's name for it is "long non-coding RNA (EGUI_LNC055964)". Lineage: Eukaryota; Viridiplantae; Streptophyta; Magnoliopsida; Arecales; Arecaceae. The record is from RNAcentral.